Non-coding RNA from Rattus norvegicus (Norway rat), 23091 nucleotides. The record is from RefSeq and is a predicted model, not a curated record. Lineage: Eukaryota; Metazoa; Chordata; Mammalia; Rodentia; Muridae.
GGAGGGAAAAAAUUGCUUAAGAUUGGAGUAAGUACAGUAUCUGUCUGCCCCCUAGUGUAAGAGUCCUCGCUGCCUAAAAUCCAACUUUAAAAGAAAAGGAGCCCUUAAAGGGAAACGACUUGGGGCUCAUGUAGGCAUAGGAGAAUGAAACUUCUGUACAUUUUAAUCUGAAUAAUUCCUCAGGAUUGAAAAUUAUUUGGCUGUGGCUUGGUUGGACCGCGCUGAGAUCUCGCUGCCUCUACGUUUCCGGAGUCUCUAGUGAAGAGGUGAUUUUUUUUUUUUUGAACUGGGUUUAUGUGCGUCCUCCUCACCCCUCCUCUCUUUUUUCUUUCUGCCUCUGUCGUCUCUCUCGCUGGCUUUUUUUUUUUUUUUUUUAAUGAAGAACCGUUCCAUGAACAUUUUGCACAGAGCACAGAAUUGCUUCUAAAGUCAGUCCGGCGCGGUUGCAAUAGACAGCAAAAAGGUAAACGUUUGCCUGAAAUCCGCACGCCAGCUCCACCACCCCGCCCGAUGGUUCUGUAACAAUCAAGAAUGUGUGGACACCUACCUGUGGGAGGAGGCUUUCAGGGACAUUGUGUCUGGUUCCUGCUGACGCCAGCAUUCUGGAGAUGGACAGCUGUUCAAGGGAAUGAAGAUUCCCCCACAGGACAAGGACUAUUGCCUCCCUGAGUAUCCUAAAAGGUCUCUUGAAACAAACCAAACACUCAGAACUUCUGUGACUGUCAUGGACAGUGUCCUGUUACUGGCUUUAAACAGAGCCCCUCAUGCAGAAGAAGCCCUGUAUCCUGGAGUUAGAUGUCAAUCAUCCUGGGAAGGCUCGUCCAAGAACGCAUGCUUAGAAGAAAACUGUUUUAGGCAUCAUCAUCUAUCACGUGGAUGUCUCUGCCCAGUCCUCCCUUUCCACAAUCACCAACAAUGAAGCCCCAACGCGGGGAGUCCCCGAGUAGCCCCCAAUGCACACACCUGCUGCACGACGUGGGAGGAGCUUUUCUGUGGGAGCCGAGGCCACACACAGGUAAUGUGAUCCAUAGUUGUUGUGUGUGUGUGUGACAUGCUAAUGCUUUUGACAGCAACCAUCUGAAAGGGGUGUGGCGAGUCAUUUGAAAUUUGUACACAGACGGCCCUAUCCAUUACGCUCGCCCAUAUCAUACCCAUAAUCUCCGAGGGCGGAGAUGCUGUGACACUCGGCAGGCCAAGAUCGUCUGUGCCUGUGUACACACAACUCCCACCAACUGGGCCGUGGAGAUACUUCAAUGGGAGUUUUCAGCCGCAUAAAUUUAACCCAGUUCAGUCGUGACCGCAGCAGGCCUGGCUAGUCAGAGAGACCUGGCCCCGUGUUUAAAAGGGCUGAAGGCUUUCAAAAAGGCUGCUGGGUUUCAUAAGAAAUUUUAUCCCUGGAGCAUUGAGAACUGUAGUCGGAUACCCAACACCCUCCUUCUCCUUCUCCCACCAUCAGCGGGCCCCAGGCUGGUAUCAGAAGCAGAAACAGAAUGGACAUUAAAAGAAAGUGUAUACCAUGCAAUGAGACCAUACGUAGCAGCCUAGCUUAUUAUGUGAGGGGGGAAACAGCAUUUAUAUGGAACCUUUAUUUACCUAUCAAAUAUAAAGGAACACCUUGGAAGCAGCCACCGUUUUGUUUGUUAGUUUGUUUGAAUCAUAGAACAAAAGCACAAACGCCACAUUGCUUCGAGUGCUAUAGAGUAUACAUACUUUCACCCUGAAAAGAGUCAUAGGGCUUUCCAAUGUGAUUCCUGGGAAGCUUUUUAGGGUCUCAAAUCAUAUUGUCAAAGUGAUCAGACAUUCCUGACCUCAAGCCUUGGUUGCAAUAAUACCAGGAUGUAAUCCUAAGCCCUUGGCAUUGCAACCCUCCAGGCUGUGAACAUUCAAGUCCCAUUUAUUCCUGACCAUUUGAAAGUGGUACUUUGACAAGCAGAGCCUGGGUUUGAAUCCCUGCUUUGUACUCUGAUAAUUAUAUAUCUUGGAGAUGUUGCUUGACAUCUGGAAGCCCUAUUUUUUUUUUCUCAUCUGUAUUCAGAGGCUGACAAUAACUUAUUCAUGGUGGCACUGUGUGGAAGCCCUCAGAGGAAGGGACAUGCUCUGGUGAAUGGCUGCAGGCCACUGUUGAACAUGUGUUGGGAUUCUUAGUAGACAUUCAGCAAAACCUUCCUUCUACAUUUUGAGUUGGUACUCCUCCAGAUCGGUGGAUAAUAAGGAGACGACCCCUUUGAAGAAAUAUUCUAAUUAGCAUCUAGACACAGUGGCACAAACCUGCAAUCUGAGUUCUGGGGAGGCCGAGGCAGGAGCAUCACCUUGAGUAACAGUGAGACCUUGUUACAAAGAAAUAAAAAACUCAAAAAAACAAACAAACAAAAACAACCGGUUUUUGAGUUUGAGGCUAGCCUGGUCUACAAAGUGAGUUUUAGGACCUCCAAGGCUCUUGAACAACAACAGCAAACCAAGCCAACACCUACACAUAGAGCCAAAGAACAAUUAUUAAUUUGAAGUUCACAUGCAACUUUUUUUUUUACCUCUUCAUUUUGGUGAGAUCAAAGCCAGAAAGAAUUCUUUCAAUGUUACAAAACUAAUAGGUUUCACUAUUCUUCGUUUAGUAACGAAAAAUUACCCCUUUUUAGACUUGUUUCUUUCUUCAUUAAAAGCAAACCCAAGCAAACGAAAAGAGAGUUGACAAUAUGCGUACCUCAGUUUGGAAUCACAUGGCAAAAUAAAAAAAAAAAAUUCAUCGCUCUGCAUGACAAUGUCCAAAAGGUACUCUAAACACAUUAAAAAGAAAGAAAAAGAUGUGUUCUUGACUGAGUAAAAGUACAAUGGGUUAAUUCGAAAGAUAUGAAUAAUUCAACAUAGAAUCAUGGGCUUCUUGCAUAGUUUCUUAUGUGAAAGCACUGCUUUAUCACUGUUAAGGAAAACUCAACCCGAGACCUCUCUCCAUAGUUGCAGCCACAUAGUCAUGCAUUUCUUUUAAAGAAGAAAGUAACAGCCAAAAUUGGUAUGUUUGUGGAGAGCACUUGCGGGGGGGGGGGUAGUGGUACAUUUGUGUGUGUGUGUGUGUGUGUGUGUGUGUGUGUGUGUGAGAGAGAGAGAGAGAGAGAGACAGAGAGACAGAGAGAGACAGAGAGACAGAGAGAGACAGAGAGAGAGACAGAGAGACAGAGAGAGACAGAGACAGAGAGACAGAGACAGAGAGAGACAGAGAGAGGGGGGAGGGAGAGAAAGAGAGAAGUGGUUGCAAUAUAACAAUUUAUAUUUGUAUAAUAAAGUCAGAAGAAAUGGGACAAUUUGCGUCUGCAUGACGGCUCAGCAGGAAAAACACCAAACCUCAUGAUGGGGGCUCUAGAAUCCACAUGGCGGAAGGAGAGAACUGACUCCUGCAAAUUGUCCUCUUUCCUUCCCAUGAAUGUGAGGCACGAGUGCCCCUUAUACCCUACACUCACAAAAUGGAUAAAUAAAAUGUGCUUUUUUUUUUAAAGUAAAAGAUUUGCUGCGAACAUAAAUCCAGGAGAUCAAUCGAUCUCUAAAUGGAACAUAAAGUGGAUGCACAGAUAGCGAAACCUAAGCUCAUCCCUGUCAUCUAACCAUCAUCAAGUUUACAGGCUUCACAGGUGAUGCUAAGUUUAGUUUGUAACCAAGUGUUAAAAUACUAAAGUAGAAACCUGUAUUCUAUCUCUCCCCUCAUAUCUAUUCGUUUUAUUUUGCCUCUCAAGUUCUGGCUGAGUUUCAGGUGGGUGUCGCUAGUCUAAGACAAAGUCAUGAGAAAGACAAGGCACCUUCCUGCUUUUUUGUUCAUGUUUUGCCCCACUUUUGGGUAUCCCUUCAUUCUCCCUUGCCUGUGUGGAAUAUCACAGGACUGUACUGGCUGCAUCAAAUCGAUUUAGGACACUAAGCGUUUUCUUAAAAAUUAAAUUUCCCAUGAAAACGUAACAGGACCAGCAACAUUGAAACAGGAUUAUGGGAAAAGUGCCAGAGGUUAAGCUAAAAUUCAGGCUGACCGCUUUGUGUCAGGGAGGAGGGGAAAAGGGUCAGAGAGGAGGGCUGAAAGAGAAAGCAGGGCAGCAGGAGAGGCAUGGAGGAGAGGAGGGACCAAAAUUAGAACAAGAGGCGCUGUUUAUUAAUAACCUUAGUGACCCACAGGCCCCUGACACAAAAUACAUUAAGGAUUCUUGGGACACUCUGGCCUGUCACUCACAGGAGGAGCCAAUAAAAUGGUGCUGGAGACUGCAAGAGUGUUCUGAGACCACAGGAAAAAGUAAAAGAAAUCAGAAUAAGAAGAGGCACGGAGUCAGAAGCAUCAAAAUAUCCUUGUGGUGCUCCAUGAUCCCCUUCCUUCCCCUCCAGCACUCUACUGGAGUCAGUACGUAGCCCAGGCUGGCCUGGAACUUUCAGCAACACUCUUACACAAGACUCACAUUCCUAAAGUUGCAGUAGCAUGCCCGUGUGCCCAGUUUUCCUUGCAUUUCUUGGUUAUUUACCUUGCUUUGUAUAUAAAGUCAUUUCUGUGCACUGAAAGAUUUUUAUAUAUUUAACUUUUGCCUGGCAGUUCUAUGGAGUGAUUUGUUGGUUUAAAAUUGCCUAUGUUUUAAAAAAAUGUAAUUUUGGGUUCAUUAUUAGUAUCUAACAUUAAUAUGUAAUUCCAGUGCUCAGGAGGCUGAGGUAGGAAGAUUGCUCACAAUUCAAGGCCAGCCUGACAGUAAGUCGGUUCCAGGUCUCAAAAAGUCAACCAAUUGAUCAGAUCCAUCUAUCAAUCUUAAGUCUAUUAACCCUUCACUAUCUGAUAUCGGGAACACUGUUCUGAGAAGUUAGCUGUUGACACACUUCUGUGAGUUCACGAAUGCAGACGAUAACUGCCUUCUGCUCUUCUCUCUGGUUUUGGGGCUGACUAGGCUCUGUGGGUCUCAAGGUGGGGUCAUGUGAACCUGCUCUUUCUUCUAGCAUAUUUACAAUGGGACUUUUUCCAUUUGGGAACCAUUUAAGAAUCUCAGUUCUCUGAAGACAGUUCGUUUUUGGUCCUGUGGUAAGAAUUCAUUUAAUAAAAUGAUUUCUCUAAGAGCUGUAUGCUAGUGGCCCUCUUUCUGUGUCUUUAUAUCUUAUCUCCUCAUCUUUCCAUCUUCAUGGUCCCCCAGUGCUUCUCUUUUUGUUAAGUACCCUUCCCCUUUUGGUAAGCUCUUUCUGGCUGAGUAGUUCCCUGGGAGUUGUGACCUUGUGUGCUACUCUUUAAGACUCUGCUAUACUCAAAAUGUGAGAGAAUGCAUUUGUCCAUUUAUGUUAGCAGUCUAAGGUUUCCAGUUUUGAGGUAUUUCAUGCAGAAAUAAACCACAUAUUCUCAUAUUCUCAUUUAUCUUUUUAUAUGACCUAUACAUUUGGAACUACUUCUUCUUCUUCUUCUUCUUCUUCUUCUUCUUCUUCUUCUUCUUCUUCUUCUUCUUCUUCUUCUUCUUCUUCUUCUUCUUCUUCUUCUUCUUCUUCUCCCCCUCCUCCUCCCCCUCCUCUUCUUCCUCCUCCUCCUACUCCUCCUCCCCCCUCCUUCUCUUCUCCUCCUCCUUCUUUUCCUCUUCCUCUUCUUUCCUCUCCUCCUUCUCUUCCACCUUUUCUUCAUAAGAUGAUCUCACAUGCCGUGCUUUCCCACAUGUAAUUUUUCUAUUAUAUUUUACUACUGUUUUCUGGGAAAAUUUAUUUGUUUAUUCAUUUGCCAUUUGACUGGUUCCUUACUUCAAUAAUUAGCUAAUUUUGGUUCUUUUUGAGUUGUCUAGACAGAUAAUAUUACCCAUAGACAAUGAAUUUUCUGUUCCUCCUACUGCCUAAAAAAAUGUAACUUCUUGAUUUUUUUCCCUGUCUUACUUCAAGGCAAGAAACACCAUGCUAUUUAAAGUAUUCCUUAUUGGAAGUGCCUCUAACAUUUUGCUAGUGAGAACGCAAUCCCAAACACAUUGUGCUUUUGGUCAGUUCUGGUGUUGGAUAUCCCGCCCCCAUUUAACUUUAAAUCUCCCUUCCUGAGCCUUCUGCUUGUCAGCCCUCACACUGGAAGCCUCCUGGGACAUUUUUCCAAAUAUUGAAUAAGUGUGACCCCUUUUCUACUUGAGUGUUCCCUGGAUAUACAGACAUCUCCUGCAAGUAUCAUCCCUUCCUCUUCUCAUGCAUGAAUACCCAUUGUCCCCUGGCAGUAGCGGUCUCCUUUAAUUCUCAGACAGCAAAGUUCUGAGCUGCUCUUGUUUUCUUUCAUGUGACAACACCAGGCUAUUUUCUGCCAACUGAAAAGUUAGUGUCUUUGCAUGAGAUUUUUUAUAUUUUCACAUUUUAAGGAAAUGCUAAACUAUUUUUCUCACAUAGAAAUUAUCAUUUCAUUUGAAUUUGCUGACUUUUUGCCAGUGGGAAGUAAAAAUAACCCAGUUUUGCAUAUGCCAAGCAAAAAGAAUUGGUUACAUGGGUUUAGGUUGGUUAAAACAAUAACCGAGAAGAGGCUGAGGGAGGGAAAAGCCUCCUACACCAUCAGCGUCUGACAAAGCUGGGGUACCUAUCUCAGGGCAGGCUGGUGGAUGCCUCCUGAGUGGGUGGGGGCCUAAUGAUGGGGGUUCCUUGAGCAUGUCACGGUGUCACUCUCUGCCUGCAUAUCUUCACCUACAAAUUGUGAGAUAAUGCAGGAACUCCAAUUAAGCGUUUAGUUUGACACAUGUCACCCAGCACACACUUACUACAGUGACUGUUAGGACUAUUGAAUUUGAAGGCAGAAACGUGGAUGGUAUUUUAGUCAACAAAUAGAAAGUGAAGCUCCUUCUCCACCAUGACUCCUCCCUUCAUAGAGCCAAUUCCUCAGAUAUUCAAGAGUUUUACGAUUUAGGCAAUAGAAAGAGAAGUAGUGGCAGUUCAGGUUAAACUUCUACCCAACGUAGAAGGAACAGGUAGUUUUAUCCUUUCUCUACUGCCUGUCAGGUUCCCUUGGACCUAACUUGUUGUUUCACACUACCAGGACAAGCCGUUUUUUGCUCAUGAAGACCCAGCUUUUCUCCAAGGAAGACAUUUUGAUACUGGCGGUCUAUUAAAUCACUGUGCUCAUGUGCUCAGAGUUUAAGAAACUUGUCAGCAUGUCUUAAUUUCUCCAAUUUGUUUGCCCAGGGAAACACCCCUAUUAGUAUGAAACUUAGACCCUGAGAAAGGAUAUGAACUUUUUUCUGUCUUUCCCUACACAAAGACUGAAAUCUACUUUAAAAAAAUAUGGUGGGAGGUAACUGUAUUAUUAUUGUUUAAAAUUAAUUAUCCUUUGCUCCAUAUUUUACCUUGUUUAUUUUAUCUGUCCAGCUUUCCCGGAGGGGCAGACUCGAGGCCCCCAUUUGGUUUUUAUUAGUGUAAUCAGUUAAUAGCUGUUCUAUAACGCUUUACUUAUUGUGUUAAUUUUCUCUAGUUAUGUCCAGAGGCAGUUUCCUGGAAGACCACAUUAAAAAAAACAAAACAAAACAAAACAACCCCAAAAUCCCCCUAGCUUCUUCUUUAAUGGCUUUGGUUACCACUUACAGCCUCAGCUUGGUCCACCAAGGUACUGAAAAUACAUCUAAACUGUGGCUAGUAUUUUAAAUGUAUAUCUGUGUAUAAAUGUAUGAAUGUGUAGCCUAUGUCAACCCUAAUGUCUGCAGAGACAUCAGUACAAUCUAUCAGCUCCUUGAACUCACUCAGUUACAUGCAAAUCCUUUUCACAGCUGGGGCCUGGGACAAGAGUGUCCACUGCCACUUAGAGGUUUUCAUGGGAAUGUACCCCAUGUGAGUUUUGAUGUUUACAGGACUAGUCCUUGAAUAUAAAUGAGCUUCAUAGCAGGCUACAUUGACAAACUUCCCUGUGUGCAAUAGAUUAUACCCUCCCAUGGCUUACAUCCUGAAUUAGAUAGAAAUCAUCUUCAGAGUUAACACCACGCAUUAGGAGCAGGCUGGACCAGCUCUCUGGAUGGCAAGGAUCUCAGCUGAGUACCUUCACUGCCUCUGGUUCUGUUUGCUCUUUGUAGUGGCCCUUGGGAAAGAAUCCUUUGCAGAUGAUGGGUCUACAUCACACGCUUAUGGUUUGCUGUUCAGUCUCUGGCAAUGAUCAGGGGUCCACACAAAACAAGUUUUCAUUAAGGCUUUAAAGAAGUCUUUAUGUGACGUGCUGGCUAUGAAAACUGACCCAUGUUUUAUUCCUAUUUUGGAACAUUUGUACGCACAUAAUGAUCUGUGUUCCGGAUGGGACUCGAGUCUAAAGGGAGUUUGGUUUGUUUUUUGUACACCUUGGACCACAUAUUUACCACAGCUGCCUUUCCUUUGUGACUUGCCACAUGAAAUUAAGUGUAGGACUUUUCACCUGUGGCAUCACAUCAGCGCUCAAAACGUUUUGGGGUGUGGAGCAAUCCAGACUUUGGAUUUUGAAUUAUACAGGUCCAGCCUGAAGUAAAUCUGGGCUGAAGUUAAAUACAAAGUAAGAUUCUAGGUUAAGAACUGUGCUGACUAGUUACUUGUUAGUUUGACACAAGCUGUACUCAUCGUGGAAGACAGAGCUUCACUUGGGGGAAACGUCUCCAUCUUAUUCACUUGUCAGCAAGUCUGUAGGGCAUUCUCUUGAUCAAUGAUUGAUGUAGGAGGGCCCAGUCCACUGUGGGUGGUGUCACCUCUAGGCAAGUGGUCCUAGGCUGUACAAAACGCAACCUCAGGGGCUGGAGAGGUAGCUCGGCAGUUUAGUGAAUUUGUUGCUUUUGCAGAGGACCCAGGUUUAACUUCUAUCACUCACAUGGUGGCUCACAGCUUCAGGGCAUCUAGCGCCCUCUACUGAUCUCUUCAGACACCAGGCACAUGCGUGGUGCAUAUACAUACAUGUAGGUAAAGCAGCUAGCCAGUAAGCAGCAUUCCUCCAUAGCCUCUGCUUCAGUUCCUGCCUCCAGGCUCCUGCUCAGAAUUGUCUCAGUGUGUGACUUGGGCACGUAAACCAAAUAAACCUUUUCCUCCCUAAGUUGUUCUGGUCAUGGUGUUUUAUCACAGCAAUAGAAACCUGACCAGAACUGUUGCAAGUAAUGCCUGUGAGAGAAGAGGAACAGAACAUGGGACUAUAAAUGACAGGGAAGAGCUGUAUGCCUGGGCAAGUCACUUCUUUCUCAAUCUUUUUCCUUCCUUUUUCCACAUGAGGACCCUGGGGAAGAACUCCCAAAGAGACUUACUUUUACGGAAGCCUGUGAUCCUUUAAGAAUGACCAACAGUGCAAAUCAAGUCAAAAGACUUAGAUGCUCUCUCCACUACUCCAUCUCCAGCACCUAGAACAGUUGUUAAUUUUUGACAGAGUCGCAGAAUGUGAUGUCUUGCUGUGCACACCCUUCCGAUAACGAGGUGCUGUCAUGAUUUGAAUAUGCUUGUCCGAAGAAGUGGCACUAUUUGGAGGUGUGACCUUAUUGGAGUGGGUGUGUCACCGUGACCAUGGGCUUAAGACCCAUGUCCUAACUUCCUAGAAGUCAGUCUUCCACCAGCAGCCUUCAGAUGAAGAUGUAGAACUCUCAGCAAUGCCUGCCCCAUGCCUGCCUGGAUGCUGCCAUGUUCCUCCCUUGAUGAUAACGAACUGAACCUCUAAACCUGUAAACCAGCCCCAAUUAAAUGUUGUCCUUAUAAGACUUGCCUUGGUCAUGGUGUCUGUUCACAGUGGUAAAACCCUAACAAGACAGGUGCCAUAUGUGGUUUUUCCUCUGCCACAUCUUCCAACGAUGAUGUUAUCUGUCAUUAAAAGCCCAGAGCAAUGAGAUCACCUCAUGGUGGACAGAUAACCACUGUAACUGUAAGCUAAACUAAAAGUUUCUUUCUUAACAGCUAAUUUUCUCAAUAUUUUAAAGAAUUAAGUAAUUAAAUUUUUUUAGAGUAGUGAACAUUGAGUAAUUAUUUUUUUUUUUCUUUUUUACAAUAGUGAAGAGCUGAGCGGCAGGGCCCAUCAGGAUUGGAAGACAGCGUUGGGUGCAUUGCAUCGACUUCAACAAGCUAAAAAUCUAACCAUGAGCUUAAUUGUUUCUUCCAGCCCAGCAUAAAAAGAAAGCAUGACCCUAGACGUGGAGUGAAUGGAGUGUGCAGGUUCCGACGAGUUCACUGCGGCUCCAGUGGGGAUCGGGCAGGCUCCAAGCACUAAAUAACCCUAAUGAUAUCAGGACUGGUCCUGCUUGCUCCAUCUACACACUGUUGGUUAACAGUGGACCCUCUGACUCUCAUGAGGAUGACUGGACAUGUGACAGAAGACCAGGAGUCCGGGAGGCUGCCCUUUCCUGCUUUAACUUUGUUCUGUCAGAAUUGAUAAGAUUUCGAUUUCCAGUUAAAACCCGCCAUCGGGUGUUCAGCAGGACAGUGAAAGAACGCCCGGCACACUGAACCAACAGUCAGAGGUUGAACCUACCAGCAAAGCUGGCUCUGAUGGACAAACGCUUCCUAGGGCUCCUUCCUGAUGCAGCUGCUAUCUGCAGACCUCCUGGACUGCCCUGGGAAGGGAGUGGGAGCUCCUGCCACAGAUGGGCGGAACAUCGGCAAGAAGGGUUAAAAGUGGCCAAAAAUAACAGUGCCUUCCAGAUGAGGUGACCUCAGAGCCAAGAGCAUCAUGGGCUAGUGGCCUGCCAAUCACAGGACAUCAGCAUGCGCAGAGCCCAGCAUCUUCUCCAGGUUCAGCUUUUACAUCUUCCUUUGGAGGGCCUACUCCGAUCUCAGGACCGCAGGUGAGGUGCUAUCUUUGGUAAGCAUUUUCUCCGUCUAGUCACCACUAAAAGCACUUUUCAUCUGGACCUUUAGUCUCUGAAUACCAACCAGGGUGGAAGUCACCUUUAAUCCUCACAGAGGUUGAGUUUCUUUCCUCUUAGUACAAAGCCACAUAUAUCCACUGUGGAGAAUUUAGAACACACAGAAAAGCAAAAUUAUAUUUGUGUGCACCAUGACUACCCUUUGAUGUGGGCCCUGCUCGAUAUGAUGAUUUUUAUAGACAAAACCCAGCCACACUUAGAUGGGAAAUACUUUCUUCUGAGCUGCUUGCUGGCUGGUAGAACCAGUUCCAUGGAAUGUCAGUGCCAGGCCCCAGCUGAUUGGCAUAGGGCUGGCUAUCGCCCUGGUUGGGCAUGUAUCUGCUCUUUCUUUCAGAUUCAAUCAGAUAGUGUCUGAGACUGGACCUAUAAUAUCUCACUGAGGUAGGAUUAGUCACUGUGCCUGGAAACUUAGCGCUUUGCUGGGGAAGGUGGUUUGUAGGAGAGAAUAGGGGAGACUGUGAGACACUGAGGGAAAGUCAGAGUUAAAGGAAGCAGAACACCACACACCUGGUCCCAGUGUUCUCCGUGACUUUUCUCAGGUGGCCUUGCCUCCGGAUCUUGACUCUGUCCUUGAGCAGUGUCUCUGAGAUGCCGGUACCUGCAUCUAACCAUGCCUGCCCAAGAGGAUUGCUUUUUGUAAACUCCCUUUGCAAUGAAUAAUAGACUUUCUCUGUGUAUCAUCUGAUCAUCCAGAUUAUAAUUUUCAAUAUGGUAGGUCAAGUGCUGUGGGGGGAGGGGCACUGCAGCUAAUGUGAGCAGCUUGAGCUCUGGUUUGGAAUAACACUGAGUUCACAGGCCCUUCCUCAUCUCCUUUGCUGUGUGAUUCAGUCAGCCGAUGAACACUAUUUAUCUCAGUAUUUUCAUCUGUAAAAUGGAAAAUCUCAAGAAAUCUUAGAGUUCCUAGACUUAAACUUGCAGUAUAGCAGAGGGUGACCUUACAUUCCUGACUCUCUUGCCCUCAUGUCCACGACGUGCUGGGUGAUCUGACCUGGUGCUGUUGUUAACAAUCACAAACGGUUCUCUGUCAACAGUCUUCCUAGUUUUAAAACACGACAGUAAGAAUUCUUUCAGAGCUGAGCCUUUAGGCAUUGGUACUCCUUGGGCUGAGUGACCCCCACCCUGAAACACUGGACCAGAGAUCAUGAGCAUGAAAAAUGCCUAAGUGUGGUUCCCGCAUCACUGCUGCCUGUGGAGUGUCUGCUACCCAAGUCUCUGCCAUCCUUAUCCCUGCCCUUUCUGUGGCUUUGGAGAAAGUGCAUUUCCUUCCAUGUCUGCGGUGUGAUCUAUACUCAACUUCCAACGAAACAAAGACUGUCACAUCUGACCUCCGGAGCUCUUUCAGGUGAGAUUUAAAACCACUCAGCUAUGCCACUUUCCUGUCAGUUAGGCUCAGCGAUAAGACAGGGCCUAUGGGUUUGAUUUCCAGGUUGCCAACCACAUUGGGCGCUUUGCAACUCUAGUGUGGAAAGUUCCAGAUGGCUCUAACGAAGUCAGAUAUUGGUUGACUUUUAACCAUACCGAUAAGCUGUUUAGAUUUUAUUACGUGUUCUGAGAAAUAGGAUCGUUCAGAAUGUGAACACUUUUAUUCUAUGCUGUGUCUGGAGUCACCUGCAGACCUCACAGCUUGGGAGAACGUGGGUGUGGGACUUAGUGAGCUACUUUUAUUUAUUUUCUUAGGUUUAGUUUUUAAAAAGACAACAUCUCAUUGUGCAGCCUGGAAUUUGUCGCACAUUUCAGGCUGGUCUUGAACUCUUGGAGAUCUGCCUGCCUCUGCCAAUCAGUGCUGGGACUAAGGGUGUGCACCACCACUCCUGGCUUGUGGCCUGCUUUUCGAGGUCCACAUUAUGCUGUGCACUCAGGGGAAGGAAAAGACUACCCACGUGACCCUCGUCCUUAAGGACCAGAAUGUAUUGGGGAAAUGGAUAUAUGGUCAACUAUAAGGGAAAGGAAUCCUAUCAGGAUGGGGCCGUGCAUCUUUGAGAAAGUCCAGAAUCAAGUAUUUCAAGAGUCAAGGUCUAUAAAUUUAGUCAUCCAGUCCUUUAAAUUUUUUAUUUGGCUCAAAGUGAUAGAAUUCCGGUUGGUCUUUUUGUCUGCUUGCUUGAUUGCUUUGUUAACGUCCAACAAGGAUCACCAGGAAAUAUUUAGGCAAAGAUUUUUGUCUUUGGAAACAUGAAGGAAUUGGCAAUAUUGAGAUGCAGUCUAAUAGGUAGUAGGCAGAGGGAGUUUCAGUAGCAAAGAGAGGUUAGUGUUUUAGUUCAUAAAGGAGUUUUUCAUUGUUGUUGUCUUAAACCAUUGACAUACCUUGAAUAAGGCCUGUUGUCUGAGGCCUUAUUCAUUUCUGCUAGCUAUAUGUGAGAUGCAGCCAGAGCUUAGGGGAGAAGACCUUGUUCUCUUACAAGGUGUCAGGGAAGGCUUAGCAGAUUCUGCCAGAGAGAGGGCAGGUAGGAUGAGAAGGAAUUUGAAAAUGAUGGGGUUAAAUACAGAAGGGCCUUCGAACAACGGGAAAGAGACUAAGACUGCAUAGAUGUGUACUGUAUGACUCAGAGAAUGACAGCUAUGGAUCUUUCUUGAGACUUGUGUUCUACACAUCUGUGGGCAGGAACUGGCGAAAGCCGGACCUACAGCAAUAUAAGGGAGAAGAUGCAGGUGGGAGGAAUGGCUGAAGAGAUUGUCCGUAACCAUCACAGGAUAAAGCUGGAAGAGAGUCCCAGGCUUUGUUAACUACAAAACUGACAACCCUACUGUUAGGAUGCUGUGCUUACAAGGGCUUCAGAACAGUUCCCAAGGCACAUUUGAAGCAUCAUUGGGACUCACUGUAGGGAUGCUGGGAGAGCAGAGUGGUUAGAGACAAGUGCCCUGGCCAUGGGAGAGCAGAGUGGUUAGAGACAAGUGCCCUGGCCAUGGGAGAGCAGAGUGGUUAGAGGCAACUGCUCUGGCCAUGCAAUGGAGCUGGUGGUUCUUCCCCAAGGUAACCUCUGCUCUUUUAGAGAAAGGUCUUGAAGUGGGAAUUCCCAGCCUCAUAGACCAGGCCUUUUUCAUGGAACCUCUAGCCAUAGGUUUUCCCUUCCUUCUUUUAAUUCUCAGACGCUCUGUGCAUGUUGGUGCCAUAACUCCAAACAGCUACAUGCAAGGUAUUGCAAACAGUGUAUUUUAAGUUCCUUAGGGACAGGAGGAAUUAUGUUUUAUUUAUAUAUGUGUAUAUAUACAUACAUAUCUGCUAUAUAUAUGCUAUAUAUGUAUAUAUAUGUUUUAAAUAUACACAUUUGUAUGUGUGCCUGUGUGUGUGUGUGUGUGUGUGUGUGUGUGUGUGUGUGUGUGUGUGUGUGAUAAAUUGCUUUGUUGAGUCCAGUCCUUCGGUAAAUGAAUAAAUUUCAAAAUUAUUUUUUCUAGAUCAUUCCUCCUUCAGCAUAUAAUGUGGAAGUUAGUGGCAAGUUAAAUACUCUUUCUUUCAAAAUGUGAAAAUAAUUUCCUUAAACAAUCUACUCGAAACUAUCUUGAACUAUAAAGAAAAGGAAGCCUGGGAAGUUGUUUCGAAACGGCAAAGCCUUUAAGAGUCAAUGUCACAUUUAUUGCUAUAAAAUAUUUUUCUCUCUCUGUUAGACAUCUGGAUCCCAUUACGUACAGUAUUGGGUACUUGAGUUCAGCAGCCAUUUUGCAUACUAAGCAGGGUGCACACAAAAUCCCCACAGACAUCACCAGUACACAUUUGCUCCGUGUGAUUCUUACUUUACAUUCACAGGCGACUCCCCUCUCACCGACUCAGUGCUUACCGUUAACAUUUUUUGAAGUUCUUUUUUUCCUCACUUAUCUGAAGGACCAAGUUCUGUAUAUUUGAAAGAUAAAGAGUGUCAAAUUCAUGGUGCCUUUUGCUUUCUGUCUUGUAUGGGCCAACUCUCUAUAAUCUGGUGCCGAAGUCAAGGAAACAGCUAGAUCUUAAAGUCUAUCUUCACUAGUAACGCUGACCCAGAAAUGAGAAACACAAUAUGGAAUGUUUGCUAAUGAGUCAUGAAUUUUCUUAUAAUUGCUUCCACAUUCAGGAUAGUUCCCUUAAACCAUGUAAUCUCGACAUAUCCUCAAACAAUCCCAUGUGUUGUAAAUGAUUUUGUUUUAUUUCUUGGGUUACUGUUAAGGGCUUAUUUUCUGGUUCAUUUCAUUUUCUUAAAGAAAACCACAUACUCAUGUGCUUUUAUACACAUGCAACAAGGGAAACAUACAUGCUCCUGUGAUUUCUUUUUUUGCCUCAGUUUCCACCUAUGGUCUGGAAAUCAAAAUAAUCACAUCGGUGAAGACUAUAUUCGGGUCCCAACUCAAGCCUGUGAGAACUAGAGCUAGCGCCGAGCGAUGCAUCAGCCAACGGGCGUCUGCCCCUUUGCUAGGCUUCGGUAUCCAUAGUGGGAGAGACAGAUACAAGCAGCCUUCAGUACAGUAAUAAUGGAGAAUUAAAUACGACUUUUAAAAACUGCUCACAUUAUAAAGUGAUCUAUUAGCAUUAUGUGACUGGAGCACUUAACGUGACUGAUUCUAAUUGCAAGACUUGGCCCACAGCAAGCGUUAAAGAGCUGCAAGGGUGUGAAGGCAUUUCAUCUCUUUGGAGAUAUUUUUAAGUGGGUUUUCUUCGGAAUAAAGCUUCAUUCCUGCUGCACAAAGGUUGUGUGGAUGGAAUCUCUCAGCUCAGAUGGAAUCAGGGGUAAUUAUCGUUUCUUCUUUGAUUCAGUCAAUCAAUAAACCGAGGAACAGCAGCGUCUUUGCACGCAUCCUCCUUUGCAUUCAGAGCUCACGAAUGUCAUGCAGAGGAUGCAGGGCUUGAUGCCCACCCCUGAUGAGCUUUACCAGGGAGUAGAAAGAUUCUCUUAUAAGUCUGUUUCCGUAAAACCAUCUUUGAGCCAUGAUGGUGGGUCUGUGAGAUGAAACUAUUCUGUAACAUCUUGAACUGAGCCUAAAAUGCAUAGGUUAUCACAACAGUGGGGAUCCUGGGUACACACACACACACACACACACACACACACACACACACACACACACACACAGACUCUAGGUAUACCUAAUAAGGAGUUUACAGGUUUCAGAAAAAGUAGGAAAAGAGAGGAAUGCCAUUCAGCCUUGGGUGGAAUUGUAAUUUGUUUAUGCUACUUAGGGUUUUUAGUUAGUUUGUUUUUGCUUUCGUCCCAUCAAAGACAGACGUUCUAUUAACUAUACACCAUUGGAAACCGUAGAUGUGGUACUGAAGGCAUCCUUGUUGAAUGCCCACGUUUAAGUAGGUUAAGCUUUGCUGGAAUAGUUCCUUGAUCGGCAUGCAUAGGGAUUUCCGGUUGGUGGUUUUCAGAUCUCCCAGCUAAUGAAAAAAAUCGCCAGACUAUACUUCCCAAAUUUAAAGUGAUGACCCACAUAGUUAUCCAAGUAGCCAACAGCAAGCUUUUGAAUAAUUGAUUAAAAACCCCAGUGAAACUGUUAGGCUGUGGAUUUCAACUUUAUGUUAAAUGCAUUGUCCUGAGCAGUAAACCCAGGGCCUUAGGCAUGCUCGGCAAGUGUUCAACCGUCCAGCUACAGUUCCAAUCAGCAACCUUGUGUAUUGAAAAGGUCUACUUUUUAAAAAUUAACAUUAUUUUGCAAAGGGCAGCACCUGGUAGAAAGACAUUUAAAGGCAGUCAGACUUACUGCCAAGUGGUUUUUGGUUUUGUUUUCAUGUAAAGGUUUUGUUAAUUGAUCCUUGUAGCUUCUAAGUGUUUUUUGGGUUCCCAAACCUUGAAUCUGCAGAAUGGAGUGGACAUGCAUGUCAUUGACCUGGAUUAGGAGAGCAGGCAAUGAGAAGAGGAUCAGAACCAUUGGCACUUUGUUAACAGAAACACCAUUUUAAGGAUAUCCUCGAAUUGGGCAAAAAUAAUGCUUCUUCCUCUUAAAUGCCAACAAUGUGAAGAAUGCAAUGUGAAGAAUGGUGGCCAGCAUCUGGCCACUGCUUUUCUCACAUAGAGUCUAAUAUGAAUAAAUAAGUCUAAAAAUUGCUUGUUUGAAGGGGGCAAAAUGGCUUGCUGGGGGAAAUGUAUGAUGAACAAAUGUGAGAUCCCAGUCUGAAUCCCUGGAACCCACAUAAAUCUGGUCACGGUAUCCCAUCUGUAAUCCCAUGACUCUGACAAUGAAAUGGGAGCUGGGGAAUUUUUGGAAGCUCAUGGGUGAGCUAUCCUGGUAUACUCAGAGGUGAAUGAAAACAGACCUUGUUUCACAUGAGGUAGGAGGCAAGGACCAACAUCCAAGAUUAUUGUCUGACCUCCCCAUAUGUACCUUGGAGUACUUCACAUGCACAUGCACGCACACACACACACACACACACACACACACACACACACACAUAUCCCAUAUACAUGAAUAUAUAUAUCCCACAUACAUAAGACUAUUUUAUUGAUUUAUACAUAAGACUGAUUUAUUGAUAGUGGUGGUGUGAAUGAGAAGCAGGGCCUUGUGCAUGGUGCUCCUUAGACCCGAUGCACCAACAGGAAGAGCAUCUCUCAUCAGUGAAUAUUGGCAGUGUGCAGGAUUUUUCAAUGUUGUGGUUUUAUGCAUCUUGUGGUGGGCUAAUGAGGCAGUGCUGGUCCCAUUAAAGCAGAUCUUUUAUGUUUUGUUAUUUCAAUAAACUUAAAAGACUUGCAUUAACAACCAACCAUGGAAAAGCCCCUUUGACAAACAUGUGAUACAGGGAUGAAAAUGGGGAUGAUUCCUUCCAGAAACUCACAGGGAAGGGUAGGAAGAAGCCACAACUGAAACAGAAGGUCACGUAUCAUAGCACACACCCAACAAAUCACACACAUGCACUUCUCCAAGUGCUGGGUGCUAUGUUCAGUCAUUAAGGGUAGAAUUGGAAAAUGAGAUGAGGGCUACUUUCCUUUCUUCUUCAUUUCCCUUUUCCCCACGGAUUCAUGGCCAAGUGGAGUGCAGGAGGGGUCAAGACUGUGAAGAGGCAACGUCAACCACACACGGUCAUAGGAAGCUUGGAUUCUGAGUGGGUACCUAGUAGUCAGAUAAAAGGCUGUGAGAAAGUGACUAAGGGGCAUGGCAUGUGCUCAAAGUGAGUGUGUAAGGAUAUAGAAAAUAAUGAGAUCUUAGGCUCCAUCUAGUCCCAUGGUUCUCAACCUGGGGGUCACGACUCCUUUGGGGGGUGUGUCACAGACCCGUUCACAGGGGUCAUCUAAAACCAUCAAAAACACAAAUGUUUACAUCACAGUCCGUAACAGGAGCAAAGUUGCAGUAAUGAAAAUAGUUUUAUGGUUGGGGGGGGUCACCACAAUGUGAGAGACUGUAUUAAAGGGCCACAGUAUUGGGAAGGUUGGGGACCAUUGACCUAGUCCAUUUCCGAAGCUCCUCUCUAGCAGAAGUGAACUUCUGCAUUGUCUCCGAUGGCUUUCAGUCACAAGGGCAUCUGUUCUUUCCCAGAUCAGACUCAACAGCUCUUCGACUUUAUGCCUGAUAUCACAUCUUCUAUUCUGGGCUGACAGGCCUGGUGCUAGGUUCACCCAAGCCCUGGCAAGCAACAGGCCUGCUUUACAGCACUCUUCAUCUCGAUCUCACCUUAUUCCUCUCUACUACCAGGUCCUGGAGGUCUAGUCCUGCUGUCCUCCUAAUAGUGCUCCUUUAUUCUUCCAGGCUGCUACCUACUUACCUGGACCUGUGCACAUUACGGUCUCAUAAAUGCCUUUCCCUUCAGCAUGCCUCCAUCUCUACUUUCACUCUUCUGACUUGUCUUGUAUAAAUAUUCUAUACAGAAGCACUUGUUUAAAUUAACAUUCCACCUUGAGUCCUACUAUACUGUUGCUACAUUUUGUGUACAAACUAUAGCACACUGUUUCACACUCACUGUUGUGAACAUAGAAUGCUUGUCUCUAAACUGAAAGUCCCAAGGAGUGUGGCAUGAUGUCCAUCUUUUGUAAGGGUUUUCUAGAGAAGCAUAACUGACAUGGGCUGUGGUCUAGCUAGUCCAACAAUGGUUUUUACUAAUAGAAAAUCUAGAAAUCCAGUAAUUGUACAGUCCACAGGACUUGGAUGUCUAUGCUAUUCUUUAGCAUUUGUCAAAUUCCUGAAAAAGUAGGCCCAUGAAGGAAGAAACUUGCCAGAGAGAGUGAAGGCAAACAGAAAGUCUCCUUUUUCCAUAUCCUUUAUGUAGGCUGCCAUUAGAAGGUGUGGCUCAGAUGUAAGGUGGAUCUUUCCACUUCUAAAUAUUCCAAGUAAGGGUGAGUCCUCUCAGCUCAAGGAAAAGUCUCUCAGAGAUGUACCCAGUCACUUGAGUUUUAGUUUAUUUCCCAUGUAGUAGAAUUGACAACCAAGAAUAACCAGCACAGUAGAUAAUCUACAAUACACUGUUGAAUGUAUGAUUGAGAAAUCUAAAGAAACAUGCCUCGUUAUUACUGUAAGGUACAGUAUUCUAAGUAUUGUAAGGUUUCCUCUGAUCUCAGGCAAUACUUAUAUACUAUUCUGACCUCAUUUGUUACAAAUUUAUCUCUGGGGUAUUGUUCUCAACUUGUUCAGGUAUCAUGAUUCUCAUAGGGAAUUGUGGCUUAUUGAUUUUCUUAUCCCAGUCAUUUCUACUUUGGAUGUAUUAUCUCAAGACCCUUCCAAAAUGGAGCCAACCAUUUAUUGAGUGCCUGACUCUGGUUGAAGCUGUUGCCAUUCCUUUGCCAGGAUCACUGCAUAGCUGCUUUGCUAAGAGCUCUAAGGAUGGCUACUGGCACACUGGCAGCCCUAAACAUGGGAGGGUCAUUGAAGCAGACAGGUCCAGCAUAUCCUUGAAAAAUAUAUGUGAAGUCAUCAUGACUUCAGGAAGGGAAAGAACACUGAUGGAAUGAAGGAGACUUGUAGAUAGAGAUGAUAAAAGAUGGUGUUUAGGACAAGGAUAAGGAGACAUCUCUGAAAACAAGUGAUCUCUGAGCUGACUUCAUUGGUGAUGAGGACUGAGUCACUUACAGGGGAAUAUGGGACACAGGGCACAGUGAGGCUGGCAGCAAUGUUUGAUGAAAAGACUCCGUCAGGCUUCUGGCCAUACAGAUUCACAUUACUUGGAACAUCUAAUUUCUUAAUUGUGGAAGGAAUUAUCAUCCUCGUGACCCUCAAAUACGAAUUGGCUAUAUAAUGGCUUUUGGCUUUCAGUUCUGCAUCUGAGGUGCACCCGUUCUAAGUGUGUGUUUAGAACACACCAUAAGUUUCCUAUCUGAAAUAUAAGUGGAUAGCUAGCAGUACAGCGGGAUUUGCGACUUUCUAGUUUUUUUUGAAGUAUCUCUGUAUGUGCGCAUUCAUGUGUGCAACACGUAUAUGUACAUGUAUGCCCAUGUACGCAUGUAUGUGUUCAAGUGUACAUGUAUUUGCAUGUACAUAUGCACAUCUUAAUUUCACUCAUUAACAUUGGCCACAUGUACAUUAGGAUCAUGAGAUUUACUCAUACUGAGAACUGUGCCAUUCUGCCCAGAGAGCAUCCACCUAGGAAAGAGACAGCAGAGCACUCCAGAGAGGGCCAGGAUCUCGGAGUUGCCAAUCUGAGGAUAAGGCUUGCCUUUCCACUGACUAGUGUGUCGCUUUGGGCAAGUCACACCACCUUUCUGAUUUUCAGUUUGCUGCUCUUACUUUUAGAUAAUAACAAAAUUGUUAGAGGCUUGCUAAUGCAGACUUAUAAUUCCAGCUACCCAGGAUACUGAGGCAGAAAGAUCUGAAGUUGCAGAGUAAUGCUUGAUCUGUCCAACAACCAACCAACCAACCAACCAACCAACCAACCAACCAACCAACCAACUGAACGAAUGAACAGCAAAUUAAACAAGGGCGAACCAGAAGGGUUACCACAAACCUGAGACUAUUCUGAGCUAAGUAAGAAGUACCUGAAUAGUUAGGCUCUAUAGAUAGUCAGGCCCUGUCUAAAAAUGCAUAUGGAAAGUAGUUUUUUUUUAAAAAAAAGACCCAAACAACUGCUCUCAGAAAAUAGCACAUCUAAUACUAUUAAAAUGGUUGAGGUCAUUUUCUCAAUUGUGAAAAUAACUUCCUAGAAGUUCAAAUAGGAUUCAUUUUGUGAAGACAAGGAUGAGAUUUUUUUCCAUAUAAUAUCAGUCCAGUAAGUAAUCCAAACUGGGUCAGUGCUGACUGACAGGGAACUAAAAUGUGCGUUUGAAAUACAGUCACCAUAAAUCUAAAUUACUGAGACCAAGACAUUUUUUUCCUUUUCUCCUUCAUUUAUUAAUUUCCUUGCUAUUUUUUCCUUGGGUCAUAUCUAUUUUAGUUUAUUAUCAUGUUUUUAGAAGUUAUCUCUGGCAUGAAAGUGACUGUAUAGACCAGACUGGUCACAGAGAUCUAUUUAUUUCUUCUGACACAGUGUUGGGACCAAAGGUAUAUGCUAUCACACCCAGCAAAGGAAUGUAGGGAAUGUUCUUUUCCUUUCAAAAUCUUUAUAAUCUCCUCAAAAAUAAAAAGAAACAAGAAAGGAUUGAAUACAAAGAAGGCUCCAAAUAGUGUUGGGCAUGCUCUACUGCAAGGAACUAGUUGGGUAUCUACUUGAAGCUUCUGCCUCCUGAUGCUUGUAGGAAGCCGAACAAUGUUUUCUUGCUAUCAGAGGCUUGGAAAACACUUUUGGAUUUUGAAAGAGACAAGACUUCUUUUGAAAUGGGGGUGUAUAAUUCACUAAAAAAAUUACAAGUUCCCAUCCAAUAUUAGAGACCCUCCCACAGCCAACUGGGAAGAUGAAGGUCACAACACAGUCCACCUGUAUCCUGCUUGCCACAGUCACCUCUCCAUGCUUCAUGCCUUCACUAUGCUGAGUAUUGGCAUGUCUGUUCUGGUUUGCAUUUAUUCAUAGCAGCCCCCAUGACCAGGUGCCACUUCUAUGUCAGAAUAAUGCUUUCCACAGCAACUGGGGAGUUUCCUUAUCUUGAAUGGUAAGAUGGUUACUUUGGAAGGUCAACUUGCCACAAUUUGGAACCAUCUGAAGGGAGAGUUCAGUUGAGGAAUUAUCUUAAUUAAGUUAGGCUCCGUGCAUUUCUGUGAGGAACUAUCUUGACUAUAAAUUAAUACACGAAGACUUAAUCCACUGUGGGUGGCACCAUUCCCUAGGUGAACAGAUCCUGAACCAUAUAGGACAGGAACAUUUUUGAUGAAAGCAAACAAGCAAGCAGGCAACACGGGCACCUGUCCUUUGCUUUUGAAUGUAGCUGUUGUGGGACUAAUAGCUUUGCCUUGCCUUCCUCUCAGGGAUGGACUCCAACAUGUAACUGUAAGCCCCAGAAACCCUCUCCACCCCUAAGCUACUUUUUGUCAAUGCAUUUGUCACUGCAGCAGAAAUGAAAUUAGAAAAAGUCCUUUACAUGGAGGUUCACCCACAGAGGUUGCUUAACUCAGGCUCAGAAAGCACACACUGUAUCUUUAAGAAAUAGUUUACUUGUGAAUCAGUAAACGUACUAGACAAAGCAGCCAUUACUUAUGCAUUCUUGCAUACCCGGCAAGGUGAAAAUAAUAGAAUAAACAUCAUAUACUUCAUUAUGAUAUCGGUUUACACUUCCAGGGUAUACAAAAAGAGGCCAUUUCAUCAAGCUAAUUGCCUGAAAGUAAAAGAGAGAGAACUUUGGCUAUUAGUCUAUUAUGGGGCUUUUUUCUUAAUCACAAAUAGGGGCCGUGUGUCCCUGGGGGGAUGUGUAUUCUAAUUUACAAUUGAACUACAGAUCAGAGCAAUCAAUCUUGGGCAGCACUUUCACUGUGUAAUUGCUGCAACAUAACAAAUAAUAAUAAUAUAAAAAAAAGCCAAAGAAAGAAAAGAAGAAGAAGAAGGCUGGAGCUCAGCUUCUGCUCGAGGUAGAGAUAUUUCCAGGCACUAGUUCAGAGAGGGAGGGGGAGAACUGCCAUGUCCAUGAAUAUACAAUGAGGGCUCAUUAGCAGCCUAGUGUUGCCAUGACGAAUGGCAUUAUCCCCGGCCUGGUGCUGCCUAAACAUGAAUUUUAUAAGGACUCAUUUAUCAUGACUUGUCAUGGGCUUCUCUACAGUUCUUUCUCCAGCUCACACACCUUUCCCUAUUAUAGCACUAGAAAAUCUUUCCUUAUUAUUAUUGUUUCCUUUUGUAUUGAUUUCUGGCACUUUGAAGCAAGUGUUCAAAUAUAGUAACAUACUAAUGAGAGAUUUGUGACUUCAAAGUUGGAGAACUAAAACUUGAUUAUUCUCACAUCUUUGGUGUAGUUGUGGGGUAGAGAAGAAAGUUAGGCUACACAUUGGAAGAAAUUUCCCAAUGUGUGAGGCUUUUUGAAAACAACAACAAUAACAACAGCAACAACAUCCCCCCGAAACCCAAUCCUUUUUUAAUGCC